RNAcentral lists this ribosomal RNA (508 nucleotides) under uncultured bacterium. RNAcentral describes it as "bacterial SSU rRNA". It matches the Rfam family "Bacterial small subunit ribosomal RNA", at positions 10 to 509 of the family's 1533-position model. The record is from RNAcentral.
AGUUUGAUCCUGGCUCAGGAUGAACGCUAGCUACAGGCUUUAACACAUGCAAGUCGCGGGGCAGCAUGGAGUCAGCUUGCUGACUCUGAUGGCGACCGGCGCACGGGUGAGUAACGCGUAUCCAACUUCCCCUUAGUAGGGCAUAGCCCGGCGAAAAGUCGGAUUAAUACCCUAUGUUUUCCGAUGAGGACAUCUGAGCCGGAACAAAGGUUUACCGCUAAGGGAUGGGGAUGCGUCCGAUUAGGUAGUCGGCGGGUAACGGCCCACCGAGCCUUCGAUCGGUAGGGGUUCUGAGAGGAAGGUCCCCCACACUGGUACUGAGACACGGACCAGACUCCUACGGGAGGCAGCAGUGAGGAAUAUUGGUCAAUGGGCGUAAGCCUGAACCAGCCAAGUAGCGUGCAGGAUGACGGCCCUAUGGGUUGUAAACUGCUUUAUGCGGGGAUAAAGUGCGCCACGUGUGGUGUUUGUAGGUACCGCAUGAAUAAGGACCGGCUAAUUCCGUGCC